GCAGAGCAGAUUGGUUAAGGACUAAGUUAGUUGAUCAUUUCCUAAGACAAGACUAGGACUAGCAGCAAAGGUGGUAUGGAUACUAUCAAGAUGAGAGGAGAAGUGGACAAACUGAAAACUAGUUCAAGGUCUAACUUUACAAACAUGACCUACCCACUGUGGCAUCCCUCUUACGCUUAGCCUGAUGUGCUUUGGUAGAGGAAGCACCACCCAUAUGAGUCUGCAUUUGCCAAAGGUGCCUUAGAAGAAAGGGAAAGAACUGGAACAGGUCAGCAAGUCCCAUGCUAAUGGGACUCAUGUCAAGCUGGGUCAAGUUGGGGUGUAGAUCUCUCAUUGAGAGCUAAAGCAUGGCGCUAAAAUAAGGGAAAGCAGAGACAUAGAAAACAAUCAAAUCUGAAGAAACCAGAGGAUGGAGAUGGAGGCUGUAGAACAAGGUGGGAAUGGAAGCUGGUGGAGAACAAUAAGGUCCUGCUGAGGAUCCCUGGUGCCCAGUAGGGAACACCGUGAGGAGGAGGAUUAAGAAAGGCACCCUUUCCACUGAUUUGCAUCGCCAUUUGUACAUGGAGUUUGGCUACAGCAAAAUCCGUUGCUAUCUCACCAGCUACAAGAAGCAAAGAACGAAUUGCAAUUCAUUUUUGUGCUCUAGGACCCGGUUGAGGAACACACCCUUCAAAGUGCUAAUGCUGUUCCAGCUCAGCAGACACCUCGUCUCGGGAAAGCCAUUAGAAACCCCCAA
This 736-nucleotide long non-coding RNA is filed under the name Homo sapiens (human). Its description in RNAcentral is "HSALNT0174018". The record is from RNAcentral. Lineage: Eukaryota; Metazoa; Chordata; Mammalia; Primates; Hominidae.